AUGCUGCGUCAUCGGCGACGUAACACACACACGCACAGGAAGCAGCUUCGGGUCAGUCGGGCUACCUGUGUUGACCAGGGCUUCAGCGCAGAGACAUGGCUCCUGGAAUUCAUUUGGGGUAAGUCAUUCUUUUCACUGAUUCUUUACUUUAAAAAGUACGUUGCUGUUGUGCCCCUGUGCUCUGACCUUGGUGCCCGUUGUCUCCUGUGCAGGACCUUCUUGCUGUUUUGUUUGGUUCAAGCAGAGCAUGUGUGCGGUUCGUGGGCUGCACAAGCCCAGAGACAAAACGGCAAAGCAUUUGUUGGCUUCUCGCAGCAGGACGUCGGCGCCGGCAGCUCUCCCCGGAAUCAAUUCAGACAGGCCUCCGUUUCCCUGGGCUCGGCCCCGAGCAGCAGCAGCAGCAGCAGCAGCAGCAGCAGCCGCAGCAUCAGCCGCCUCUUCAAUCCAGCGCCUGUCGGUAGCAGUGGCCGCACACAAACUGGGCCACAGCCGGCCCCCGGUGGCUACGCUCCAGUCAGGUCGUUGCAGGGCGGCUGGGUGUCCAAACCCAACUGGAGGCCCACCGACUCGAAGCUGGCGAGUGCUCAAGGUGUGCCCAAAAAGCAGUUGUCUGUACUUUCUACUUCUAUCGCCAGUGGAAGUUCUGUGAGUGUGCACACACUGAAAAAGAAAGCCCAUACCGAUGUGAGCGAGAGGAGAACUUGGCCAGGCGAGGGGGCGUCGGCCUCCCGCCACCAGUCUGCAGCACAGAAGCCUCCCAGUCGGUCUUCCAGCAUGUUGGGUGCGGGUGCUCCGGUGCCCCACAAUUCUGUAAAGAGGCGCACUUCGGCCACCGCCCCCGCCAGACGAGUGUCUUCACAGCGCAGAGCCAAGGAGUUUAGACAAGCUCAGAUCACAUCCCCUGAAAAUGAGAGAAAGGGAAACCCCAACUGGAGCAAGCUGUUUCCUGUGACGGGAGGAACUGCCCAAGGAAGCUAUAAGCCUACUUCCAACAUGGCCUCGAGUCUCGCAAGUUAUCCCCGGGCACCCUACAAACAAAACGCUGCCGUUUUUCAGCCACGCGGUCUCAGCCCACCCACAAGCCAGAGGUUUGGCUCCAGUGAGCAGACCCCCGGCAGUACGAGCUCUGUGCGAGCGGGAAGCUCCCCUCAGCGCUACGCCCCGACCAGGACCCUCAACAUCCCUUGGUCCUUCGGUGGCUCACCCAUCAAGCGGCUGAAAGGGUCAGUUGUCCAGAAGCCACAAGUGAAGCACACGGCUGCGUCUCACAACCUGCAGGGUCAAGGUGUUCAACAGAAGCCACAAGUGAAGCACUCGGCUGCGUCUCUCAACCUGCAGGGUCAAGGUGUUCAACAGAAGCCACAAGUGAGGCACACGGCUGCGUCUCUCAACCUGCAGGGUCAGGGUGUUCAACAGAAGCCACAAGUGAAGCACUCGGCUGCGUCUCUCAACCUGCAGGGUCAAGGUGUUCAACAGAAGCCACAAGUGAGGCACACGGCUGCGUCUCUCAACCUGCAGGGUCAAGGUGUUCACCCAGAGAGCAAAUGGCAGAGGAUCACCAGGCCGCGUCCAACUGCCUAACAGGUGCAGCAGAAGGACUUGUCCUUGUUUGUGUUUUUGAAAUAAAUUCUUAAUCCAAGUCUUGUCUCGACUUCAUGUGGCACUGCUCUCAAAGCCACAAAUGUCUUUGUGGCUGCACCAUAAAUGUAGACUUGGUGCCACCUAGUGUGUAAAAGGAUGCGAUGCAAAGAUGGCUCCAUCUGAACCAGAUCUGAAUCCCUGCAUUUCUAUUCAGACCUUUUUGAAAAUGCAACAACCAGGUCUCCCUCUCUCCAAAGAUCACCUGGGAAAUGUUACACUUGGGACAAAUGCAGGAACGUUUACAACUUGCUGAAUGUAAACUCUAAAACUUGGCCAAGGCUUUAUACUGCAAAAUACUUAAUAUGCUAGUUUAUAGAUGCUGAUUGUGGGGAAUACAUAUCAGAACACCCAUCUGUCAGUGUUCUUAUGGAAUGAUGACAAUAUCCAAUUGCCUGUUUAUCUCAGUGGUUGAACCCCUCCUCCCUGGCCUUAGUACUUCAGUUGUCCUAAGUAGAUCUCCUGACCUGUUUAAAUCUGUCUCUCCAGAACUUGGAUUCCUGGUAUUAACAUCCAUCCGGAGUAUUAAUUUGAAGUGCCAAUAGCAGUAAUAACAUGCUCUUGCCUAAUUAGCAAUAAAAUAUUAAACCUUUGGCCAAUAUGCAAAUUUGACACCUAGAUGUGGAAUUAAUGUAUGAUUUGGCAUAUUCCCUGUAAUCGACUGGGGGGGACAAUGACGCAGG
RNAcentral lists this long non-coding RNA (2321 nucleotides) under Scophthalmus maximus (turbot). RNAcentral's name for it is "lncRNA (ENSSMAG00000023616.1)". The record is from RNAcentral. Lineage: Eukaryota; Metazoa; Chordata; Actinopteri; Pleuronectiformes; Scophthalmidae.